UACGGGGGGAGCAAGCGUUGUUCGGAUUUACUGGGCGUAAAGGGCGCGUAGGCGGCGUAACAAGUCACUUGUGAAAUCUCCGGGCUUAACCCGGAGUGGCCAAGUGAUACUGUUGUGCUAGAGUGCGGAAGGGGCUACUGGAAUUCUCGGUGUAGCGGUGAAAUGCGUAGAUAUCGAGAGGAACACCUGCGGCGAAGGCGGGUAGCUGGGCCGACACUGACGCUGAGGCGCGAAAGCCAGGGGAGCGAACGGG
This 253-nucleotide ribosomal RNA is filed under the name uncultured bacterium. RNAcentral describes it as "partial 16S ribosomal RNA". It matches the Rfam family "Bacterial small subunit ribosomal RNA", at positions 524 to 776 of the family's 1533-position model. The record is from RNAcentral.